Molecule: ribosomal RNA, 407 nt
Filed under: uncultured microorganism
Description: bacterial SSU rRNA
Rfam family: Archaeal small subunit ribosomal RNA
Source: RNAcentral
GUGCAGCAGUCGCGAAAACUUUACAAUGCGGGAAACCGCGAUAAGGGGACACCGAGUGCCAGCAUAUUAUGUUGGCUGUCCACAUGUGUAAACGGCAUGUGUUAGCAAGGGCCGGGCAAGACCGGUGCCAGCCGCCGCGGGUAACACCGGCGGCCCGAGUGGUAAUCACUUUUAUUGGGUCUAAAGGGUCCGUAGCCGGUUUGAUCAGUUCUUCGGGAAAUCUGACAGCUCAACUGUUAGGCUUCCGGGGAAUACUGUCAGACUUGGGACCGGGAGAGGUAAGAGGUACUACAGGGGUAGGAGUGAAAAUCUUGUAAUCCCUGUGGGACCACCAGUGGCGAAGGCGUCUUACCAGAACGGGUCCGACGGUGAGGGACGAAAGCUGGGGGCACGAACCGGAUUAGAUA